GAUGAACGCUGACAGAAUGCUUAACACAUGCAAGUCGAUGGGGAAGUGGUGCUUGCACCAUGGCAACCAUGGCGGACGGGUGAGUAACGCGUAAGGGACUUACCUGCAGGACUGGGAUAACAGGGGGAAACUCCUGACAAGACCGGAUAAUGUCAUGGAGCUGCAUGGCUUUAUGAUGAAAGGAGACGCCUGCGGAGAGCCUUGCGUCCUAUUAGCUAGUUGGUGAGGUAAUGGCUCACCAAGGCGAAGAUAGGUAGCCGGCCUGAGAGGGUGGACGGCCACAAGGGGACUGAGAUACGGCCCUGACUCCUACGGGAGGCAGCAGUGGGGAAUAUUGGACAAUGGGGGCAACCCUGAUCCAGCAAUUCUGUGUGCACGAAGAAGGUUUUCGGAGUGUAAAGUGCUUUCAGCAGGGAAGAAGUAAGUGACGGUACCUGCAGAAGAAGCGACGGCUAAAUACGUG
RNAcentral lists this ribosomal RNA (463 nucleotides) under uncultured bacterium. RNAcentral's name for it is "partial 16S ribosomal RNA". It matches the Rfam family "Bacterial small subunit ribosomal RNA", at positions 28 to 507 of the family's 1533-position model. The record is from RNAcentral.